GGCUCGGUAGCUUAGUUGGUAAAGCACUCGUCUAACUUGCAAGAGUCCUGGGUUCGAAUCCCAGCCGAGCAC
Molecule: non-coding RNA, 72 nt
Organism: Aedes aegypti (yellow fever mosquito)
Lineage: Eukaryota; Metazoa; Arthropoda; Insecta; Diptera; Culicidae
Source: Rfam